AUGGCUGACUCCGGCCCAGCAGUUCCCGCAUUUGCUGUUUACUAACCGCUCCACCCCCUGCCAGCUCCGGCGUCAACACUGCCCAGCCCCGUAAAGGUUAUGAAGGCCGCUUAAUCGCCAUCUUGGACGCGGGCGGAAGUCGGCUAACCCGGCCAAAUCGAUCACCGUAACCACUGCGGAGAAUACGGCGAUCACGCUAACAGCAGGGAGAGCAGACGUGAAAGAAACGGAGAGGGAGCCUCCUUAAGGCAGCUUUCCAGCUUCACCACGCUGUAUUUUAAAGGCGCAGAAGGAGUGAAGGGGAGGAGAAAGCACAAAUACAGGUUCGCGGACUGGAAUAUAACAGGCACCAGAGGAUUCCUUCUCGGUCCCCUCGUCCUGGAACUUGCGACCAAGGUUGGAUGUCCCCAUAUCCUUGUUUAAUGGAGAGAACUCAACUAAGCUUCGUUGCUGCUAGCCCCAAAAGCAUUUGAUUUGUCUGUGAGAAGCUGAAAAUCAUCUUUUAGAAAGUUGCGCUUCGAUCUCCGCCCCCUACCCUCAAAUCCCUUAAUUAUGCUGUAGAAGUUGGGGCUUUUUGAACAUCUCUCUCACAAUCUGGUGCUGAUUUAACUGCAUAAUGGCUUUCUAUUUCACUGGUGUUCGAAGCUUUCCUAAACUUUGGAAGAGCAACCCAUACCUUGGGCUAGGCCCAGGUCACUCUUUUCUCUCUCUCUUUCUCAAAGACUGUUAUGGCAUCAAGAACCAAGAGAAGUGGUUUUCUCUUAAAACAGUGUCUCCACAAAAUACCAAAGCAAUGAAUCUGCUGGUUGCCAAAGCCAGAUAUGUCAGGAAAAAAGAUGAGGGCAGUAGUAAGCAAGUUUCUGCUGAUUCUCCUCACAUGUUUGCAGCUGGAGCGGCUAAGAAGAGAUCACAGAUGAAUCCUCCGAGUAAAGAGCACGUCUUGCCACCUGUGAAGAACAUUUUUCAACUCCCGACAAAACCUUUGAAUUCAGAGGAGUGGGAUAAACUGAAGGAAUAUUUCAAAGAAAAGGCUAACUUUGAAAAUUGGAUCAUUUCACAGAUGAUUAAAUGCCGUAGCUCUGUCGAUGUGGCCAAAUCUGUGCUGGCCUGGGUAGCUGCAAAAAACAAUGGUAUUGUAGGCUAUGAUUUGCUGGUCAAGUAUUUGUAUCUCUGCGUUUUUCAUAAGCAGACAUCAGAAAUUAUUGAUGUCUAUGAAAUCAUGAAAGACAGAUACAAGCGUUUAGAAUCUGGAGCGUACACUCUUCUCAUCCGGGGAUUAAUCCAUACAGACAGAUGGAGAGAGGCCUUGCUGCUGUUAGAAGACAUCAAAAAAGUCAUGAUUCCUUCAAAAAAGAACUAUGAUGACUGUAUCCAGGGAGCCCUCUUUCAUCAAGAUGUAAAUGUAGCUUGGAAUUUGUAUCAGGAGUUGUUAGGUCAUGAUAUUGUUCCUAUGUUGGAAACAUUAAAAGCCUUCUUUGAUUUUGGAAAAGACAUGAAAGGUGAUCAGUAUUCAAACAAACUGCAAGACAUUCUUUUGUAUCUAAGAAAUAAUCAGCUGUAUCCUGGGGAGUCAUUUGCACACAGUAUAAAAACAUGGUUUGAAAGUGUUCCUGGAGAACAUUGGAAAGGACAGUUCACCACAGUCCAGCAAAGUGGUCAGUGUUUGGGCUGUGGAAAAACUAUAGAGUCUAUUCACCUGAGUUCAGAAGAGUAUGAAUUUCUCAAGGAAAAAAUAAUGAGGGAUGUGAUAGAUGGAGGUGACCAGUACAGAAAGACGACACCUCAGGAGCUUAAGAGAUUUCAGGACUUUGUAAAAUACCAUCCUCCUUUUGAUAUUGUCAUUGAUGGGCUCAAUGUUGCCAAAAUGUUUCCUAAAGCUCGUGAAUCUCAAGUUCUCUUAGAUGUGGUCUCUCAACUAGCCAAGCAGAAUCUUCAAGUGCUGGUCCUGGGCCGGAAGCAUAUGUUAAAGCAGAAUUCCCGGUGGAGGAAGGAUGAUAUGGAAAAGGUGCAAAAGCAAGCCAGCUUUUUUUUUGCUGACAACAUCUCAGAGGACGAUCCAUUCCUUCUGUAUGCCACACUGCACUCGGGGGACCACUGCAAGUUUAUCACAAAAGAUCUGAUGCGGGACCACAAGGCCUGUCUGCCUGAUGCCAAGACCCAACGCCUGUUCUUUAAGUGGCAGCAGGGACAUCAGCUGGCAAUUGUUAGUAGGCAUCCGGGAUCAAAAAUAACAUUUCAGCAUAUUCUCAUCUAUGACACUGUGGUGCAAACAACGGGAGACUCGUGGCACAUACCUUAUGAUGACGACGUGGUGGAAAGAUAUUCCUACGAAGUGCCAACCAAAUGGCUUUGCCUUCACCGGAAGACAUAAAGACUCUUACCCCCAUGCUAAACUUGUGUUUGGGUGUCCUCCUGGUUGACAUCAGAGCUCUUAAGUUGAUGGUUGAUGCUUGUUUAGAGCAUUGCUUCUGUCCUGUCUGAUCCAGUUUGUCCUGUUUGGUCCAGUUGGUUUGCAUAUCAAUAAAUUGAUUUUUCAAUUAAAUAAGAUAUAUCUUUUCAUAACCGGUUGCAUUUUUCCCCCUAACAUUUGUUAGGAUUUGAGGCUUAUCCAAAGCUGGGGAACUUGGUGCAGAGUGAUACCUACCUUUCUCCUAUUGAGCCAGCUAUUCCGCUUACUUGGGCAACAGGGUCUUCUGGUAUCCAUUUUGCUACCCUUCCAGGUAGCAAUAGCAGAACCAAUCCAUCUGGCCCUGGACUCUGGGUUGUUUGUAAACCAUUUCUCCAUUUCUGAUAUCAUCUCAUCCUCUCAUGUUAUCUCCUUCCCACACUGAAUCACUUGUGGUCCUCUCUGAUGAGCUGGCCCAGAUGUCAGAGGUGUAUUAGCAACUUCUACUUAUCACCCAAUGAUUUGGGUUGGAGGAAAGGGGGCAAUUCCUUCUCUUUAGAUUAUGAAUGUUUCUUCUUCAUCCUAUAAUGCCUUUUCCAGACUAAUUCAACAUUUUGUGAACACUGUUAAUUCCAUCACUUGGUAUGAGGGCUUUCUAAAGUAUAUAGAUUAUUUUCAUUUUAUCAAGUUUGACUUACUUUACCAAAGUGAGUAAGUUGUUGCCUCUCUGUUUUACUCCCUUGAUAGGCAGCUUAUAUCUUGAUUUUAGCUGAAAAUAUUCGUGUCUGUAACACUUCAUAACAGUUCUUUCCUUACUCAUACGUACUAUACAAUUUGAUAUUCAAGAGCAGACAAAACCAGUCUAUGGUGAUAAAAAUCAGAAUACUAGUUGCCUGAGGAAAAGGGCACAAGAGAAUUUUGUGGGGGUGAUGGAAAGGUCUGAGUGGUGCUGACAUAGGUGUAUGUAUGUAUUAGUCAAAUUCAUCACACUAAACACUUAAAAUUGAUGCAUUUACAACAACGUAACUGAAAAAAGUAUGUUAGCAUAAAAGUUAUUUACAUGAAAAAACAAUGACUUCAUUUAUAUCAAACAAUAUACAUGGAUAUAAGUAAGGUGUGUAUUAUGCACAGAGAGACAAUCCAGGAAAAACAGAGGAGGGGAUGUUUUACCUCCUUACGCCAUUGUUGGAUUCAACACUGCUGCCUCCUAGAGGAAGGGGCUCUCCAGACAAGUGCCUGAUAAAUUGAGGGCAUUGAAAGAUGCUGAGAAUCGGAAAGCUCUCAUAAAUCCAACCUGUUUAUUUUCUAGAUUUCAUGAACUACCUACUUAGAACACUGUGCUUGCAGCGAGCUAAACUUUUUUUUAAGAAACUACCCUAGUUUUAAGAAAAUUAGGAAAGAAAGCAUUUGUUAAAUAAGCUUGUCUAAAAGCUUAAUGCAAAUUCCUCACAAGUUGCUCUAGAGAUGGGAGAGGAUACAAAAAGAAUCGUAGAACUUCAGAGCAGGAGUGAACCUUGAAGAACAUAAAAUCCUACAGUCGCAUUUUAUAGAGCAGGAAUAGACUCAGGAAGAUGCAAUGGCUCCCUUGGAUCCCACAGCUAGUUAGUAGAGACAUUUCAACCAUAACCCAGCUCUUCUGAUUCUCAAGUCAAAUAGUCUUUCUUCUACUGUACACUGUAACUUAGACUAGAGUAGUUCAUAAAAACUCAGACAGACUGAAUGGUAGAGCAUCCGGUAUGUAGGUUUAGAAACUUUGUUAGCCACAUAAGAGAAAGUGGGGAGAAUGAGAGGAAGGGAACAGGCAGGACGACCUCUUCAAGGGCCCACGUUUCCAUGGUGGCUCAUCAGGGUAGAAAAUUGGGUUAGAGAAACUACAUUUUUUUUGAACUCUUUAAUACCAUUCCAAAACAAAACCCUAAUUUCUGCUUGAGGUAAAUUGAGGUGCAUCUGUCACUUGUCCGGGAGCAGGGCAAUUCUAGGGCGCUCAGAAUCAAUCGCACUGACACGGGACCUUGAAGAGUUCAGGGAUUCUCUGAAUGGAGGCAGCUGGUACCCAACACUUAGGCUGCCUUUUGUAUUCUGAUCACCUGAGUGAGACAAAAGCUACCUGCCUAAUUCAAGGUCCCAGACACAGUGGGAAGAAGGAAUUCUUUAAAAACCUGUGCCCUGGAUUGAGAGUAUCUUUAAAGUUGGCCAGCCAUGAACAAUGAAAGCUUUGAAAGGGCACUGACUCUGCCACUGAAAAGUGUGUCUAAAAUGCUUUGUGCUUCCCUCUGGCAUGCUCCUGAAUUUAUACUCUCUUUUCCUCCUGCUGUUCUCAGACCCAGUAAAGAGAAAAUCACAAAGGAGAAGCCUGAGCUCAUUCUCCCAGGGCUCCGCUGGGACUACCUCACCUCAGAUUCCCUGAGGGCAGCCUCCCUGGUGGUGCAGUGGUUAAGAAUCCGCCUGCCAAUGCAGAGGACACGGUUUCGAGCCCUGGUCCGGGAAGAUCCCACAUGCUGCAGAGCAAUUAAGCCUGCGAGCCACAACUACUGAGCCCGUGUGCCACAACUACUGAGCCCAUGUGCCACAACCACUGAAGCCCACACGCCUAGAGCCUGUGCUCCGCAACAAGAUAAGCCACCGCAAUGAGAAGCCUGCGCACUGCAACGAAGAGUAGCCCCCGCUCGCCGCAACUAGAGAAAGACUGCGCACAGCAACAAAAGACCCAAUGCAGCCAAAAAUAAAUAAAAGUAAAAUAAAUAAAUUUUUUUAAAAAAAGAUUCCCUGAGGAUUUUUCUCCCCAAGUUUUGUCUCUGUUGGCAAGACUUGAUCUGACAGAUGCUUCCAGAGACUAUACAUGCACAACUUGCCUUCAACCAGGAAUUGAAAUAAACAGGAAGACAAUUAUCUAGUCACUGAUAACAGCUAAAAAUUGUUUUGCUACCAGAGUACUCUCAGAAGUACACUGUUAUCAAAUGGAUUAAGUUAUUAAAAUAACCAUGAUAAUUUAUUAUAAAUAGCAGUGUUAUGUGAAGGGUUUCUGGUAGCUUCUGACAAGAAAGUUGAUGUAGAAUUAAUUUCAUCCAUAUUUAAAUGAUUACCUCAUUAGUCUCUUUGAUGUUAGUUAAAAUUCAGCCCAAGAAGCAAAUACUUGAGAAAUCACAAUUUCUAAUAUGGUAGAGACAUAAAUUCAUUUUAAGGAGACCAGUUCAGAUUGCCGUAUCAGUCUCAGCUGGGCUAGAACAUUACUAAGUAUCAAGUUUAGUUCACAUCUAAAUAUUGAAAGUCCGUUUUUUUUCUUUUUUCUAAUUUUUAUGUAUUAAAAAUUUUUUAAAUUGAAGUAUAGUUGAAUUACAAUGAUUCAGGUGUACAGCAAAGUAAUUCAGAUAUGUAUAUAUAUAUUCUUUUUUAGAUUCUUUUCCAUUAUAGGUUAUUACAAGAUAUUGAAUAUAGUUCCCUGUGCUAUACAGUAGGUCCUUGUUGUUUAUGAAAGUCCAUUAUUAAAACAGAUUUUUUGUGCUUUCUAUGACUGCAUCAGAACAAAGAAUGUCAGUGUCCGGAAUUCCCUGACAAUUCUGCUUCUCAUUUGGCUCUCUGGGGCAGAGUGGCAUCCGGCCUGGGAGGAUAAUAUGGGGCCUCCACCUCCAUGAAACAGGUUCCUUUGGAAGUGGUUAUGGCAGGUUGUCGGAAAGGUAAGUCCCUCACCUAGACUCAUUGCUUAAGAUGUACUGUAUUACUAAUUCUUUAAAAAUAAAUCAUUCUUGUAUUUUCUUCCCCUUUUCAGUGACCUUGUCCUAGAAUCCAAAGCUGAAUAUUUUUAUCCUCUGCUCCAAAGCUGAGUAGUCUAAUGCUAUUAAGUUUUUAUACACAUAUAUGCCUUUCAUAUAUAUAUACACACAUGUAUAUAUAAUUUUUUUAAGGAUCACUCAUUCUCUAUAACCUCUUUUGUAAUAAGGUUUUUUCCCACCUGACAGAAAAUGAAACUUUUCCUUGUUCUCAUAGUCUUCUGUCACUUCUUCCUCAUGUACUCUGAACAUCAUAAUAUAACUUCAUAAAACAAGGCAGUCAGGUUAAGCUAGGGCAUUGCUGUAUACCAUAAAAUACUAUUUGCAUGGUUGUAUACUCACAAACUAUUCCUCCAGGUUUCCUGUGUUCAGAAGGAAAUUUGUGUUCCAGGAAGCUGUCACCCUGAUGAUAGCUACUGGCUCAAAUUAAGGAUCGUGUCCUUUGGCACUCAGCCCUGUUCUGGCAGGAGUUCUCAAAUCCUUGAAGAAAUGGGUCUUUUCCAAGUUAGGCCCUCUGAUCUCCAACUCCUAAAGAAAUAAACUCUGGUCAGACCAAGUAUUUGAAGAGAAAGCCUGAGGAAGUUUUGCUGCUUGACACAGAUAGGGAGCUUUUUAUUUUUUUAAGUAAAUCAUCUGGCUCUUUUUGUUCUUUGAUACAGCAAGGGAGGUUUCUGUGAGGAAAUCAGUACUGAACAGUUUGUGCUUUAUGAAUGUCAGUAGAUUUUUUUUUCCUUCCCACUCCCACUGCCACUAUCCCCAGAGAUUUCAACACCAUCCAUAUUCUGGUCUCAUUGUUUCUUAUCCACUUAAACUCUGAUGAUUUUCGGCCCCCUGUGAGAUGCCAACCUGGAUCUUUUAAACUACUUAAAAGUGCUCCACUUUCAGGAUAUCAGACUUUGGAGCUCUUCAUUUUGCCUACAACCUCCUUAACCUGCUCCACUCCUUCAUCCCGACCACCAGUUCCUAGAUCUGUUCUUAGGCCUAUUCCUUCCUCACCUAGAGGCCUCUCUUAUCUAUCUUCAUCUAGCUUUGCUUGCCUUGUUGCUCACCCCACUCCAUCCUCAAACCACUCAUUUCAUGGAUGACUUCAGUAAUACUUCAGAUUCUUUCAUUCAUUUCACCUCCUGUGGUACCCAUCUUAUCAAUUCUAAACCAAACUUUGGGUAGCCCCAUACCAUUCCACUUUCUCCUCUCCUAUACCAUAGUAUUGCUAGAAAAGUCACGAAAUUAUGCUACUAGUACUUCACUCCCAUUUGAAGGUCCUUUGUUUCACCUUUCAGUGAAUUCCCUGUUAAUUCCCCGAAGGAGCUCUCCCAACUUUUGCCAUCUUAACUUGAAAAGAGCUCAUCUCCUGCAGCCUCCAUUUCCUUUUCUGUUCAGUGGGGAAGAGGGUGCCAGCGUACUUCUCAAACUCUAAUGGACAUGGGAUCUCGUUUAAAUUGCUGAUUCUGAUUCAGGUCUGGUGUGCCUGGUGAUGCCAAGGCUGCAGACCAUAUUUUUGAGUAGUAUUUUGAGUAGUCUCAAAUGAGCUCCAAGGUUAUUUAAAAAUAAUAAUAGUACAACACUCAUGAUUCUAAGUCCUGAAUCAUAACCUGGCCACUCUCACUCUCAGCAGAUGACUUAAGCAGGAACUAAAAGCCAUCUGUUAAGAGACUCUUCAGCAAUUUUUGCCCUUUCUAGCAACUUUCUUUCCUCACCCUUUUCUCCCUCUUCUAGGUUACUUUUUCUACUGCCUCCAUACUAUCCUUUCUUGCUAACUUGAGAAGUUGUUUUCUCAGUUAGUCUCUUUCCAUGGGCUCAUUCCCCCAUCUAACUACAAUACUUUUGGCUUCUAGCCUGACAAAACUGUGCUUCCCUAGGGAUAAUUUAACAGCCAAACUUCUCAGAGGAAGGAGCCAUCUCUACCCCUGCUUUCUUUCCAAUUCUACAUUUGCAGCUGAGCAUUUCUACUCAACCACGGUGAAAACAAUUCAUCUUCACCCCAACAGAGUGACCUCCUGCCUUACUUUAUGUUAUUUUUUCCUGCUCAUUUCCCCCUACUUACAUACCUAAUCAAUUAGCAAAUUGUGUUUGACUCCAUCUUCAAAAUAUCUGUCGUAGUCUAAUUAUUCAACUCUUAACUACCUUUCCAAAGGAAAUAAUCCUUUUUUAAAAAAUUUGUACAUGAAGAUAUUCUUCAUAAUAAUGUUAUUGAUAAUAAUAACAAAAUUGGAAAUAACGAAAUGUUCAAAACAAGGGAGGGAAGAAAUAUAAUUUUAAACGUUACAGUGAUUAAAAUGAUACUUUGUGUGUUGGCAUGGGUUAAAUGACAAAACAUCUACCAAAUGGUAUGUUUAAUAUGAUCCCAUGUUUUAAAUAGGAAGGAAGGAAGGAAAGAGACAUUUGGAGAAAAGUAUCUGAAAGAAAUAAUAUUUUGUUGAUUCCAAAAUGUUAAUAGGUAUCUGUGCAUGCUGGGAUUGUGGUUGAUUUUUAGUUGUCUUCAUCUUCUGCACAAUCUGAAUUGUUACAUGUGUAAUAGGAUGUUAGAAUAGGACUCUUUCUGCCUCAGUUUCCACUGAGGCACAAAUAUAGUAGAUACCAAGAUUCCCAGGUGAGUGUGGGGCAGACAGUACAUAUGCAGAAUUUACAAAAAGAAUAAAGGAGAAUCUGCCUCACAACUCCCGGCCCCUUAACCAGGCCAAAGAUAUCAAAGAGUCAGAGGAAGGAAAAAGAUAAAGAUGUUUCCUUGUAGAGAGCUGUGGCCAGGCUCCUGGUUCCUUAGGUACCCUCUGACCCCAGGACCCCGGGAAAGAUGCCUCAAUAGGAAUACUUGGAGCUCCUCUUGCAGUCUGGGGAACCCAGGACCUCAGAGAAAGCUGAAGCCUCUGUGGAUGGGCCUGACUCUGCAAAAGCUGCAGGAUGACAGCAGGGCUGACAAGAGACAUUGGAAACGAGCCAGAGAGGGCUACUGCCUUGGACUUGCCUGACACUGCAGGUUUCCUGAUGGGGGCCAGAUAGGUGGGAAGAGAGUUGCCUUAGGCUGUCUUGGGCUGGAGGGGAACUUCGGGAUGGCCAGGGGUUGAAGAAGGAGUGCAAGUGGCCACCUACAUAUAAAAACUGAUGGGCUCAGCAGAGAACCACUGAAGAGCCUUAGAAGAGUGGCCAAGCGGAGAAGUAUCAGCUUUAACCAUCUGUCAGGCUCACCAGAGACUCCAGCUAUAAACAUCUGCUUGGCCUAGAAAGCAUUGAGCCACCCACCCUUACCCAUCCUCCACUGCCCAUCCUCCACCUUGGCUGGGGCGGGGCAUGUGGAGGGUGUGAAGGAGGUCGGGGUGGAGCUGAGCCAGGAGUGAUUAGGGAGGACAAGUCAACCAUGCCCCCACCCCUUUCCACUGGAAGAUUUAGUGCGAAGCCGACCUAAGCUGACAGAAUACAAAUGAUGCAGUGCUGUUUGGAAUCUAUUGGUAUAGAACUGGAUAUUCUAAUUUCUGAAUCGAUACUGCAUUUGUUAAAGUAACCGUAGCACUGCAUAUUAUCUAAGAGGAAUGGAAAAGUAAGGGAGCAUACCCGAGUUUUCAUCUAGAGGCAGGAAAAAUGAAAGGAAGAGUGGGAGAACAAAAGUCAGAUUGUAGUUUUAUCACAGUCUGUUCAUCACGCUUGUUACCAGAACCCAGAUGCCCCCUUGCGCUCACUUCCAUCAUUUCUUGCCUCCACAAAGGUAACCACUGUCCAGUCUUCCAACAGUAUAGAUUCCUUUUGCUUGAUUUUGUGCUUUAUGUAAAUGGAAUCAGUCAGGCUGUGCUCUUCCGUGGCUGGCUUCUUUCAUUCAAUAUUGUGGGAGGUUCAUCUCUGUUGUCACAUGUAAUUGUAUCAUUCAUUUUCAUUAUUAUGUGAUGUUCUAUAGUGUGAAUAUACCACAAUUUAUCCAUUCUACUGUUGAUGGGCAUUUGGAUAGCUUCUAGUUUUUGCCUAUUACAAAUAGUAAUUACUAUGAAUAGUGUAUCACUUUUUAUAAUGGGCGGAGAGCUAUUAAAAAGUCUCUGGCAUCUUCUUUCCUUUCCAUUUCCGUAACUACCACCCCAGUUCAGGCCUUCACAAACAGUCACUGGUUCUAUUAGCAAUGGCCUCUUGAUUGAUAUCCCCAUCUACAGUUCAUCAUAAAUACUGCCACCAAGUUUAUCUUCUGAGAGCAUAAUUCUAAUCAUGCCAUUUCCCUUACUCAAAAACGUCAAAUGUCUCCCCACUGCCUUCCAACCAGAGCAGAAGUUCCUUUCCUUGGCAUUCAAGGCCUCCUCCCUGCAUUUGUACUCCAGAACAUUUUUGUGUCCUAGUCAAGCUAAGCCACUGCCAUAACCUAAACACAGGCUCUUUUUUUCUUCCUCUGCUUCUCUGUUCUUGCCACCCCGCGUCCAUGUUGCAUCAUGGUGCCACUCACACUGUUCCUAACAGCGAACACACCUGUCAGAGUGCUUCUCCUCCCAAGUUGAGCUCGGAUAUAUUUCUUUCAGCAGGUGGCUUGCAUUCCCUUUGGCCAAAGUCAUUUCCCAUCUGCAGCGCUUUGUUGGACACUGCCUUACAUAUCAUGUGCUCCUUCAUGUUAGUAUUGCUCUCAUUUGGGUUGCAUUUUUCCUCCCCACUGAAAUUUCUUCUCCAUCUGGUUCAUCUGUGUGUCUCCAGAGCAGCCAGCCCAGCUGGCUUACCCCUAGAAGAGGCUCAAUAAACGUUUGUUGAAUUAUUUUGGAGAAGUUGUUUGAAAAUGUCUUCCUGAUUUUUACCUCUGAUUCCCACUUCUCCUUUGAGUGAAUUCCCCUCUUGCUCCUUGGUAUUUUGUGUGUGUGCCGGCUCAGGAACAUACUCUUUGGUGUCUGAUGCUUCAACUGACCCUCAAGAAAUAAUGAUAACUUCUCAAUGCCACCCUCUUUAAUUAUACCAUUUAAGCCCCUCCCCGCGUCUUAAAUGAAUUGACUAUUUAUUUAUUAGGCAUCUAUUUUGUACA
RNA transcript from Globicephala melas (long-finned pilot whale), 11128 nucleotides. It is a transcript of the gene named protein only RNase P catalytic subunit, with no coding region annotated. Lineage: Eukaryota; Metazoa; Chordata; Mammalia; Artiodactyla; Delphinidae. The record is from RefSeq and is a predicted model, not a curated record.